GCUGCAUGGGGCUUAGCUGUCAGCUGGGGUUAAACCAUGACAGCUGUCCAUAACACUGUCUGUCAAAACUGGUAUAAGAAACAAUAACUCCAGUCAUGUUAUUACAUUUGGGAUUUUUAUUUCAGGAAAACCAAAGCUGUGAAGGAAACUAAGUAUUGGAGACCUGGUUAUGUCUUGCUGAAUCAGAAGAGAAUUUGAAGUAAUAAGUCCACUGGAUAACAGCAGCAUGCAUAAGAUGGAGAUCAACAGGAGGGGGCCUAUUCCGCAUAGGCUUUUGUGUGAAGUAGAAGAGGACUCUUUUCACCUUUUCGGGAAAAUGCGGCUGCUAUGCACAAAAUAUGAAAGGCUGAGUGACAGAGGAAGAGCAUGAGUCCCUGGUCUAGUGGUAAAUCUCAGAGCUGAGAGACAUAGUUUGGGUGCCAGUUUCCAUGGUCAUUCCUGUAUUUUAACUAUAUCACCUGAAAUACAGAUAUUGUCCUCAGAGCAAAAAUCAGAAAUCAGAACUCCUACCAAGCUAAGUCACUUACCCGCUUAAACUACUGAACUGUGUUUUGCUCCAUAAACUUUGAAGUCUUGUCAGUGUACAUUUGUAGAUUUACCCAGAUUGGUUUUGUCUGGUGGCAGGACAUUUUUCUCAAAGGGAGGACAUAUAACUCCGAAUCAUCUCAUAAACAAGAGGGAACUAAACUUGGUUGACUCUGCCAAGGUAGGUAAAUUUAGAUAUACAAACUGAGCAACUCUGGAGGACAAUUUAACCUGAAAAGGGCUUCAGGGAUAGGCAGGCAUUUUCAGUAUCCUGUUUUGGACUUCUGGGUCCCAAAUAAAGUGCAUAAGUCCCCUUUUGAACCUGGCCCA
Molecule: long non-coding RNA, 855 nt
Filed under: Parus major (Great Tit)
Lineage: Eukaryota; Metazoa; Chordata; Aves; Passeriformes; Paridae
Description: lncRNA (ENSPMJG00000015886.1)
Source: RNAcentral